Molecule: transfer RNA, 87 nt
Filed under: Planctomycetota bacterium
Lineage: Bacteria; Pseudomonadati; Planctomycetota
Description: Planctomycetes bacterium (freshwater metagenome) tRNA-Leu
Rfam family: tRNA
About the family: Transfer RNA (tRNA) molecules are approximately 80 nucleotides in length. Their secondary structure includes four short double-helical elements and three loops (D, anti-codon, and T loops). Further hydrogen bonds mediate the characteristic L-shaped molecular structure. tRNAs have two regions of fundamental functional importance: the anti-codon, which is responsible for specific mRNA codon recognition, and the 3' end, to which the tRNAs corresponding amino acid is attached (by aminoacyl-tRNA synthetases). tRNAs cope with the degeneracy of the genetic code in two manners: having more than one tRNA (with a specific anti-codon) for a particular amino acid; and 'wobble' base-pairing, i.e. permitting non-standard base-pairing at the 3rd anti-codon position.
Source: RNAcentral
GCGGAAGUGGUGGAAUCGGCAGACACGCUAGCUUGAGGGGCUAGUCCUUUUACCGGGGUGGGGGUUCAAAUCCCCCCUUCCGCACCA